GCGCACGGGUGAGUAACGCGUAUACAAUCUACCUCAUACUAGGGGAUAGCCCAGAGAAAUUUGGAUUAAUACCCUAUAGUAUCAUAAAGAGUCAUCUCUUAUUGAUUAAAGGUUACGGUAUGAGAUGAGUAUGCGUUCUAUUAGUUAGUAGGUGAGGUAACGGCUCACCUAGACCACGAUAGAUAGGGGCCCUGAGAGGGGGAUCCCCCACACUGGUACUGAGACACGGACCAGACUCCUACGGGAGGCAGCAGUGAGGAAUAUUGGACAAUGGGCGAAAGCCUGAUCCAGCCAUGCCGCGUGCAGGAUGACGGCCCUAUGGGUUGUAAACUGCUUUUAUACAGGAAGAAACUACUCUACGUGU
RNAcentral lists this ribosomal RNA (364 nucleotides) under uncultured Bacteroidota bacterium. RNAcentral describes it as "bacterial SSU rRNA". It matches the Rfam family "Bacterial small subunit ribosomal RNA", at positions 98 to 463 of the family's 1533-position model. The record is from RNAcentral. Lineage: Bacteria; Pseudomonadati; Bacteroidota.